Molecule: ribosomal RNA, 496 nt
Filed under: uncultured bacterium
Lineage: Bacteria
Description: partial 16S ribosomal RNA
Rfam family: Bacterial small subunit ribosomal RNA
Source: RNAcentral
AUGAACGCUGGCGGCGUGCCUAAUACAUGCAAGUCGAGCGAACGGACGAGAAGCUUGCUUCUCUGAUGUUAGCGGCGGACGGGUGAGUAACACGUGGAUAACCUACCUAUAAGACUGGGAUAACUUCGGGAAACCGGAGCUAAUACCGGAUAAUAUUUUGAACCGCAUGGUUCAAAAGUGAAAGACGGUCUUGCUGUCACUUAUAGAUGGAUCCGCGCUGCAUUAGCUAGUUGGUAAGGUAACGGCUUACCAAGGCAACGAUGCAUAGUCGACCUGAGAGGGUGAUCGGCCACACUGGAACUGAGACACGGUCCAGACUCCUACGGGAGGCAGCAGUAGGGAAUCUUCCGCAAUGGGCGAAAGCCUGACGGAGCAACGCCGCGUGAGUGAUGAAGGUCUUCGGAUCGUAAAACUCUGUUAUUAGGGAAGAACAUAUGUGUAAGUAACUGUGCACAUCUUGACGGUACCUAAUCAGAAAGCCACGGCUAACUACGUG